Molecule: transfer RNA, 74 nt
Filed under: Actinomycetes bacterium
Lineage: Bacteria; Bacillati; Actinomycetota; Actinomycetes
Also listed under: 1 other name
Description: Actinobacteria bacterium tRNA-Lys
Rfam family: tRNA
About the family: Transfer RNA (tRNA) molecules are approximately 80 nucleotides in length.
Source: RNAcentral
GCGCCUGUAGCUCAAUGGGCAGAGCAGCUGGUUCUUUCCCAGCGGGAUCCGUGGUUCGAAACCCGGCAGGCGUA